Sphaeramia orbicularis (orbiculate cardinalfish) is the source of this 532-nucleotide long non-coding RNA. RefSeq lists it as uncharacterized. The record is from RefSeq and is a predicted model, not a curated record. The transcript is spliced from 4 exons. NCBI's taxonomy places the organism in Eukaryota, Metazoa, Chordata, Actinopteri, Kurtiformes, Apogonidae.
GACCAAUGGCCCAACGACAACAACGCUUAUGCAACUGCAGAUGAGCUUGAUCUCGAUUUAAGACAAAUAGAGAACUCAAAACAAAGCGGAACAAGUUCUGAAUCGAAUGAACGGAAGAAAAACACAUUGAGAAGAGACGCCGCUGCAGUGAACCGGCCAAGGACUCCGAACCCAAACCCACGUCCCACCAUCCCACCUCGACCUGACAGAUACAUAACUAUCAGAGCGCCUCCGAAGGGACAAAACAGAAGCCCAGCGAUGACACAACCACCCCACUCAACUCUCUCCAGGUACACUGUGAUAUUUCUUCUGGUGCUGUGCAGUCUGUUAAUUGCGGUGAUCUGUGCUCUGAGCGUCAACUAUGGGAUAUUAUCUAAGGAUCACAAUGAAGUACUUGAGAAAAAGCAAGACUUGACACAACAAUAAAAAAUCUGAAAUCCCUGUCACUGUCAAAAUACUACAUUUUUGACAUACCACACGAAAACAUGUCGGAGUUCAGUAAGGAACAGCUAUUCAUAUUAAAUUAUGAAGU